RNA transcript from Argiope bruennichi, 6598 nucleotides. RefSeq lists it as uncharacterized. The record is from RefSeq and is a predicted model, not a curated record. The transcript is spliced from 4 exons. Lineage: Eukaryota; Metazoa; Arthropoda; Arachnida; Araneae; Araneidae.
UUUUCUUUGCCCAUUUUCAUGGUAAUAUUUGUUUUGCAUUUGCAGUGCAAAUGAUUUUAAUAAAAAUGGGCGCAAAUUUAGAAAUUAAACAUCUCAAACGUCUCCGAAAGCAUUUUUUAUGGCUUUUUAUGAAACUUGACUUGGAUAGUUUAUUCUUCUGGUAUGAUGGUACUUAUACAAUUAUAAAGACAACUUAUAAAAAAAGACAAAACUUGUUACAGGAAAAGCUGUUAUCUAAUUAUGUUGCUGUUGCUCAUAAUUGCCAUUCUAAAUACGUUCGCUUUGGUGGAGUAUGGUUAUUCCUGCUCAUCAAAGACAGAAGCAGAACGUAUAAAUUUCGGCAUGAAACUGCAGCAUGCCCUCCUGGAAUUCACAGACUCUUUUUUGCCACAUAUGAAAGAGGAAGAAGAGAAAACAGGAGACGCCAGUAGAAUUGGUGAAAAUACGUUCCUUCAUCCAUUUUCCUGUAACAAGACAGAAGCAACAUGAAUUUGAUCUCGCAAUGUAGUAUGGAAACUGGAAAUGUUAAUGUAGAGGUGGAUUGAUUAUAAAGAUAGUCCAUCUUUUCAUUACCAUUUCGAAGGUUUUCAUACACACCUACAGUCAUCAUCAGGAAUUAUCUUCAUCAACUAUAGUCAUUAGCUAGUUCUUCAACUGUAAUUGAUGAGUUUCAAAUAUUUAUUGUAUGUGGAAUUGUAUUCUAAAGUGUCUACUUUGUGUUAUAAAGUUGUAAAAUUUGUUCUCUAUUUUUAUCAAAAUUGAAAUUUAUCAGUGGCAUAGUGGUGGUGACCCUGUGGAUAUAAUUCGAAUUUUUCACAUCUUGUAUUUAUUAAGAGUUUUUUAAGUGUAAAUUUCAUUGCAGUACAAUGCGCUUUUCUUGGCUGUCAUUACUUAGGGGCACUGUAAUUGUGAACUCCAUCUGGGGCAUGAUUUUUUUUUUUUCUGAUCAUAUUUUCCUUUAAAAGGAGAUAAAAUUUUGUCUCCAUAGCAUGGCCCCUAAGACUGGUGCCUCAGUUAUUUAUAGCUUGUUCGUUACACCUCUGUAUUAGGAUAUUUUACAGAAUUUUUUCAGAGCUGUCUGAAGAAUGUAUUACUUAUUUUAUUUUAAUAUUGGCUGCAGAAUUUAAAUUUUCUAAUUUUAACCUUCAUUUUUUUUUUUUUAAUAUGAUAUAUCUAUGUACCUGAUAGCAAUUCAGAACUUAAUUUCUCUCUUUCUCUGUGUGUGUAUAUAUAUAUGUAACAUAUUUUGGUUUAAGUAGAAUGCAGGUUUGAAGACAUAGACGAGACGUUGUAUUUUUAAUUCCGUUUUAUUCUCUCUCGGGAGGCAAACAUGAUUAUUUACAAAAAGGCACAACUCAGCACAAAAACAGAAGGCAAAAAGGGGUCGAACAAAUGAUUGAUUGCCUUAUAUAGCAUAGGAUUUCUGGCCACGUGCCGCAGGAGUGACCUUAGACAAGGGCAAAAGUAUCACUUUUAUUUGAUACUUAGUACUGAUGGCGUAUUAUUUUUACAAAAGGAUUAAUUAAACCGAAAGUGGAAUUGGAUCAUGAAAUAAGAGAAUAUUUUAGAAUGAAGUUACUAUGGGCUAAAUUUAGAUAAAUUCUUGUAAAUUAAUUAAAUUGAAAUUAGAAUUAAAAUAUCAUUACAUAUAUAUAUAUAUAUAUAUAUAUAUAUAUAUAUAUAUAUAUAUAUAUCGCAGUAUUAAUAAUACAAUAUUAUUGUUGUAAAAUGAAGUAAAUAUUUUGUUGUGCUUUUGACAAAUUUUUAAAACAUUGUUUUUCCAUGGCAUCAGAUAACUGUAAGGAUCUGAUUUAAUAUAUCUGGAAACAGAUAUCUGUUGUGCGUUUUGAAAGAAAAAAAUGCUGCAUUAUGAAGCGAAUUUUACUAAAAGAAUUUGUGGAUGUUUUUUAUAUAUGAUGUUGUAUUUAACUGUAUGUUAUUAAUCAGUGUUUAUCAAUGUUUUCUGCACUCAUGUCCAUAAAUUAAGGAUAAUUCAGAGUCACGCGGAAAUAGAACUCUAAAAUACAUAUAUCAACCUUAAAAUGACUACACACAUCUUCAAAAAUCAUAUACAAAUUGCAGGAACCCACCAGAUGAAACCGAUAUUACGUCACAAUGACGAGAGUGUAAGAAAGUGAUGUAUAAGGAAUACAGGCAAAGAAGUAAUAUUGUUCGCAAGCUCUUUAUAAGCCUAUCAAUGUAAUAACCGCAUAGUUAUGACACAAAGGACGCAUUUGGAUGAUUUUUUACGUGUUAGAAUUAUCUUCCGUUUCUAAUGGGGGUGUACCCAGCUGGAAGUGUCCAAGGAACUUGGAAUCGCCCAGAGUGUCAACCACCUCCUACAUAUCUACCGAACUUCGGAGAACAUUGCUUGAUGAGUGGUGUAAUAUUCCCCGAGAUCAGAUCGAUAAUUUGAUUGUACGGCCUGUAUUGCAACGUCUGGGAGACAUACUAUGUAUUAACCAUCAUACCAACCAUGUAAUUUUGGUUUUUAAAAAUGUUUUUUGUAAUUAGCUCCAGGGAGCAAAAAAUCGCAAUUUUUAUAAAUGAUAUCAAACAUAUAGCAUCUUUUUUGCUUUUUAUCUUUUGUUUAACAAAUAGGUUUUACAAAUAAAUUCACAUUUGUUUUUCUUCUGACUCUUUUCCUGAACUUGCAUUAUCCUUAAUUUAUAGACAUGAGUGUAGUAUUAAAAGAAAUAUAUAUUAUGUAAUUAUCUAUUUAUGUAAAAGUAAUAGGGAGCAUUCAUUACUUAAUACAUUUUUAUAAUACAUUGAAGAACCAGAAAAACUGAUAUAGCAGGUCGUAUGAAAAUAAUGGAGGUGUUCAACCAAUCAGUAUGAUACGAGAAGGCCGACAGUGCAUAUCUAAGACCACAGGUGUCUCAGGUCGCUAUUACGUCGAUUUUUACUAUUACAAUCGCAGGGUUAUCAAGAUUUAAGUGAUUUUCAACAGGGACUAAUAUUCUUCGCACGAGAGAUGGUUCACAGCAUUUCGGAAGUAGCGAUGAAAUUUGGAUUUUGGCGCACGAUCUUUUCAAGGGUGUACAGCGAAUAUCAGAUUUCCGGUAAAACUUGACGGCAGAAAACAAUCAUUACACAAGAUAGACGUUCAACACUUCCUCAAGUUGCUGUGGAUUUCAAUGCAAGCCAUCAACAAGUGUAAGCAUACGCAUUGUGCAACGUACCCUAAUUGACAUGGGCUUUAGCAGCCGCAGACCAUCUCGUGUACCAUUGUUGACAUAGUGGCACAAAGCUCUACGUCUUGCUUGGGCUCGCCAACACCGUCAUCUGAAAACGUAGUCUGGUCUGACGAGUCACGUUUCCAAUUGUAUCCGGAUGCUGGCUGCGUACGGGUUUGUGAAGAAAAUCCAUGGAUCCCUCAUGCCUACAAGGAACUGUUCAAACUGAUGGCGGCUCUGUGAUAGCAUGGGGCGUGUACAGUUGGCAUGAAAUGAGACCGUUGGUACGGCUUAACUUGACCAUGACAGGUCAGCGGUACGUUAACAUCCAUUCAUGUCCUGUGUGCAUUCGCACGGACGUAGACAAUUCCAACAGGAUAAUGCACCAACUCACAGGUCUACAAUAGCUACCGAAAGGCUUCAAGAGCACUUUUCUGAAUUUUUUUCCCUCUCUUGGCCACCUAAUUCUCUUAACAUGAACAUUAUCGAGCAUAUAUGGGAUGUUUUGCAAGAUGCUGUCCUUAGGAGUUCUCAACCACCUCGCAUUCUCAUGGCUUUAUGGACUGCCUUGCAGGAAUCAUGGUAUGAACUUGUCUGCAGAAUAUCUUCACUAAUUAGUUGAAUCCAUGCCGCGCCGUGUUGCAGCAAUUCUGCGUGCUCGUGGGGGCUCUACACCAUAUUAGAUUGUUGUAUCAGUUUUUCUGGCACUUCAAUGUAUAUGUAUUCAAUUUCACAUUACAGUCAAGUGUUUGAAAAGUGAAACAAAUACUUUGCCAUUUAUUAUUGUUUUAAUUUAUUGCUUUAAAAUUGGUUGGUCGGUUUUCACGUCUAGUCAACAUCAAAGUCUUUUUAAGUGUAAACUUCAUUUGACUAUAAAAUGUGAUUUCCUUGGUUACUCAUGGUUACUUCAUGUGUUACUCAUGGGGACAGUAAUUGUGAACUCCAUCCGGAGUAUGAUUUAUGUUUUCUAAUCAUAUUUUCCUUUAGAAAUUUUAUCUUCAUAGCAUGUCCCUAAGACUGGUACUCAGGUAUUUAUAGCCUUGGGUGCUACGCCUCUGAAUUAUGAUGUUUUACGUAAUUUUUUCACGGCUGUCUGAAGAAUCUAUUUUUUAUUUGAUUUUAAUAAUGGCUAUAGAAUUUCAAUUUUCUAAUUUUAACCUUAAUUUUUUUUACUAUGAUCUAUCUAUGUACCUGAGUGCAAUUCAGAACCUAAUUUCUUAAUAAUAUUAUUCAUCUCUCUCUCUCUCUUUCUAUAUGUGUGUGUAUAUAUAUGUGGUUAUCAAAAUAAUGGAAAUACCUGUGAAUAAAUGUGUUAUUUUUGAAUGCUCUUCGUAAGCAUUAAAAUACAAUAAUAAUAUCCUUCAGGUGUUUUCUAGAAAUAGCAAUGUAUGCAUUCGGGUAGUAUGUCUUAGCUAUAUUGAAGUUCUGUAAUUCUUGGAUUUUUUUCAAAAGCGGACAUCUGAGAUUUUCAAAGAGGCGAAAUUGCAGGAGCCCAUCUAACUGGAGCAAGUGUGACAGAAACAUCCCAACUUUUAGGCGCUUCUAGAGGUACGGCAUCUAAAGUCAUGACAGCAUACACACAGCGGGUCAAGACAAGCUCGACAAAGCAAAAUAGUGGGCUGAAAGAGAAGCCCAGUAAAAGAGACUGACGGGUAUUGAACCGGAUUGUAAUGUCUAAAACAACAGAAAAAUGACGCAGUGUUCAUUUCCCAUCUGGAUUCUCCAGUGUCAGUGAUUACAGUUAGAAGGCACCUUCAUAAACAGAACAUUUAUGGCAGAGUAGCAAUUCCCAAGCCAUUUGUCACAGAUGUUAAUGGUAAACAUCGUCUACAAUAUUGUCACACUCACAAAACCUGGUCGAUUGAUAAGUUGAAGAAAGUGAAUCUGAUGAAAAGUGAAACUGACGAAUCGUGUUUCACACUUUUCCCUGCAACAGGACAGGUGCACGUUUGGAGGACACCUGCACAAGCGUAUGAUCGGGAUUGUCUCUUUCCAACUGUCAAGCAUAGAGGUGAAUAUGUCUUGAUAUAGGCAGCCAUGUCGUGGUUUUCUGCUAGACCAAUCGUAACCCUGAUACGAAGGAUCACUGGGGAGAAGUUUAGAGAAAUUUUAGCUGACCAGGUUCAUCCUAUGAUGCAAACUUUGUUUCCUGCAAGAGAUUGUCUUUUCCAAUAAUGAUAAUGCACUUAUGUGUGCAGCGAGACUUGUCCAAUUAUGGUUUGAUGAACACGAGGAUGAAGUUAAACAUCUGCCUUGGCCCGCACAGUCACCCAAUCUCAAUAUAAGAGAAACAGUAUGGUCUAUUUUAGAGUGUUCAAUAUGGAAUCGAUAUCCUCGACCGGCAUCUCUCCCAGAACAUUUACAAUAUCUCAAGGAAGAAUGGUACAAUAUUCCUCUUAAACAUUAUUCAACACUUGUAUAAAUCGAUUUCUAAGCAAAUCCAAGCUGUGUUACAUGCCAUAGGCGGUCCUAUACCAUACUAAUUAAGGAUUCUGUAUAAAUAUAAGGCGUUUACAUUAUUUUGAUAACCACCUGUAGUUUAAUAAUACAAAAUUGUUAUUGUAAAGUGAAAUAAAUAUAUUGUUGUGCUUUUGACAAAUUUUUAAAACAUUUUUUUUACAUGGCAUCAAAUUAAUUUAAGAACCUAAUUUAAUAUUUCUCGAAACAGAUAUCAGUUGUGCUUUUUGAAAGAAAAGAAAAAUAAUUGCUUUCUGAAGCGAAUUUUACUAAAAAGAUGUGCAACUAUUUUUUGAAUAUUAUUUUAUUUAACUGUAUCCUGUUUAUCAAUGUUUCCCAGUUUUGCCAGAAAUAUAUAUUAUAUGAUUAUCUUAUCUGUUCAUGUGAAUGUAAUAAAUAGGAAACGUUCAUUAUUAUAUAUUUAUAAUUUAUAUAUUCAGUUCCACAAUCUAAUGAAGGUUUUGAAGUGUGAAAUAAAUAUUUUGCCAUGCAUUCUUGUUUUAAUUUAUUGCUUUAAAAUUGGUUGGUUGGUUGGUUUUCUUGUCUAGUCACCAUCAAGGAUUUUUUAAGUGUAAACUUCACUUGAAUAUGAUGUGAUUUUCUUGGCCGUCGUUUCUCAUGGGCACUAUAACUGUGAACUCCAUCUGGGGUAUGAUUUAUGUUUCCUAAUCAUAUAUAUAUAUAUAUAUAUAUAUAUAUAUAUAUAUAUAUAUAUAUAUAUAUAUAUAUAUAAUAUUGCUUUAUGAAGCGAAUUUUAUUAAAAUAAUUUGUAGCUUUUUUAUGUAUAUGAUGAUAUAUUUAGCUCUGUGUUGUUAAUCAGUGUAUCAAUGUUUCCUAGGUUUGCAAAAAAUGUAUAUUAUGUCAUUAUCUUAUCUGUUUGUGUGAAUAUAAUAGGAAAAAUUCAUUAUUUAAUAUAUAUUUAUAACUUAUGUAUUCAGCUUAACAAUAUUGUCAAAAUUUUG